RNAcentral lists this transfer RNA (73 nucleotides) under Callorhinchus milii (elephant shark). Its description in RNAcentral is "tRNA-Tyr (GTA) (tRNA-Tyr-GTA-7-1)". It matches the Rfam family "tRNA". From Rfam's summary of the family: Transfer RNA (tRNA) molecules are approximately 80 nucleotides in length. Their secondary structure includes four short double-helical elements and three loops (D, anti-codon, and T loops). Further hydrogen bonds mediate the characteristic L-shaped molecular structure. tRNAs have two regions of fundamental functional importance: the anti-codon, which is responsible for specific mRNA codon recognition, and the 3' end, to which the tRNAs corresponding amino acid is attached (by aminoacyl-tRNA synthetases). tRNAs cope with the degeneracy of the genetic code in two manners: having more than one tRNA (with a specific anti-codon) for a particular amino acid; and 'wobble' base-pairing, i.e. permitting non-standard base-pairing at the 3rd anti-codon position. The record is from RNAcentral. Lineage: Eukaryota; Metazoa; Chordata; Chondrichthyes; Chimaeriformes; Callorhinchidae.
CCUUCAAUAGCUCAGUUGGUAGAGCGGAGGACUGUAGAUCCUUAGGUCGCUGGUUCAAUUCCGGCUCGAAGGA